CGGAAGCAUAACUUUCUGGCACACUUGAGAUUUCAUGGUUUCACUCUGCUGGACAAGAAACAUGUGACAGAGACAGAAUAUAUCGAAGACGCUGACCCAGUACAGCACAAAAUGAAGCCUUUUCCUUGCCCAGCAUGUCCAUCCUCAUUCUUAACUUCUUCUUCAUUACGGCGACAUGAACUAGAGAAACAUGAUAAGGCGUUGGAACCCAUAAUCUUGGUAGACCAGGAGAGGGGGUUAUUUGUGACAGCCCAGGACAAGUGUGGACCACGAACUAUUAUUCAUGUAUGCAAGUCCUAUGAUAAUCAAAGCUUUAACUGUGAGGU
This is a long non-coding RNA of Melanotaenia boesemani (Boeseman's rainbowfish), 326 nucleotides long. RefSeq lists it as uncharacterized. The record is from RefSeq and is a predicted model, not a curated record. Lineage: Eukaryota; Metazoa; Chordata; Actinopteri; Atheriniformes; Melanotaeniidae. The transcript is spliced from 3 exons.